This 1506-nucleotide ribosomal RNA is filed under the name metagenome. RNAcentral's name for it is "bacterial SSU rRNA". It matches the Rfam family "Bacterial small subunit ribosomal RNA". The record is from RNAcentral.
AGAGUUUGAUCCUGGCUCAGGACGAACGCUGGCGGCGUGCCUAAUACAUGCAAGUAGAACGCUGAAGAGAGGAGCUUGCUCUUCUUGGAUGAGUUGCGAACGGGUGAGUAACGCGUAGGUAACCUGCCUUGUAGCGGGGGAUAACUAUUGGAAACGAUAGCUAAUACCGCAUAACAAUGGAUGACACAUGUCAUUUAUUUGAAAGGGGCAAUUGUUCCACUACAAGAUGGACCUGCGUUGUAUUAGCUAGUAGGUGAGGUAAUGGCUCACCUAGGCGACGAUACAUAGCCGACCUGAGAGGGUGAUCGGCCACACUGGGACUGAGACACGGCCCAGACUCCUACGGGAGGCAGCAGUAGGGAAUCUUCGGCAAUGGGGGCAACCCUGACCGAGCAACGCCGCGUGAGUGAAGAAGGUUUUCGGAUCGUAAAGCUCUGUUGUAAGUCAAGAACGGGUGUGAGAGUGGAAAGUUCACACUGUGACGGUAGCUUACCAGAAAGGGACGGCUAACUACGUGCCAGCAGCCGCGGUAAUACGUAGGUCCCGAGCGUUGUCCGGAUUUAUUGGGCGUAAAGCGAGCGCAGGCGGUUUGAUAAGUCUGAAGUUAAAGGCUGUGGCUCAACCAUAGUUCGCUUUGGAAACUGUCAAACUUGAGUGCAGAAGGGGAGAGUGGAAUUCCAUGUGUAGCGGUGAAAUGCGUAGAUAUAUGGAGGAACACCGGUGGCGAAAGCGGCUCUCUGGUCUGUAACUGACGCUGAGGCUCGAAAGCGUGGGGAGCGAACAGGAUUAGAUACCCUGGUAGUCCACGCCGUAAACGAUGAGUGCUAGGUGUUGGAUCCUUUCCGGGAUUCAGUGCCGCAGCUAACGCAUUAAGCACUCCGCCUGGGGAGUACGACCGCAAGGCUGAAACUCAAAGGAAUUGACGGGGGCCCGCACAAGCGGUGGAGCAUGUGGUUUAAUUCGAAGCAACGCGAAGAACCUUACCAGGUCUUGACAUCCCGAUGCUAUUUCUAGAGAUAGAAAGUUACUUCGGUACAUCGGUGACAGGUGGUGCAUGGUUGUCGCCAGCUCGUGUCGUGAGAUGUUGGGUUAAGUCCCGCAACGAGCGCAACCCCUAUUGUUAGUUGCCAUCAUUCAGUUGGGCACUCUAGCGAGACUGCCGGUAAUAAACCGGAGGAAGGUGGGGAUGACGUCAAAUCAUCAUGCCCCUUAUGACCUGGGCUACACACGUGCUACAAUGGUUGGUACAACGAGUUGCGAGUCGGUGACGGCGAGCUAAUCUCUUAAAGCCAAUCUCAGUUCGGAUUGUAGGCUGCAACUCGCCUACAUGAAGUCGGAAUCGCUAGUAAUCGCGGAUCAGCACGCCGCGGUGAAUACGUUCCCGGGCCUUGUACACACCGCCCGUCACACCACGAGAGUUUGUAACACCCGAAGUCGGUGAGGUAACCUUUUGGAGCCAGCCGCCUAAGGUGGGACAGAUGAUAGGGGUGAAGUCGUAACAAGGUA